This 492-nucleotide ribosomal RNA is filed under the name uncultured bacterium. Its description in RNAcentral is "partial 16S ribosomal RNA". It matches the Rfam family "Bacterial small subunit ribosomal RNA", at positions 29 to 507 of the family's 1533-position model. The record is from RNAcentral.
AGUGAACGCUGGCGGUAGGCCUAACACAUGCAAGUCGAACGGCAGCACAGUAAGAGCUUGCUCUUACGGGUGGCGAGUGGCGGACGGGUGAGGAAUACAUCGGAAUCUACUUUUUCGUGGGGGAUAACGUAGGGAAACUUACGCUAAUACCGCAUACGACCUACGGGUGAAAGCAGGGGAUCUUCGGACCUUGCGCGAUUGAAUGAGCCGAUGUCGGAUUAGCUAGUUGGCGGGGUAAAGGCCCACCAAGGCGACGAUCCGUAGCUGGUCUGAGAGGAUGAUCAGCCACACUGGAACUGAGACACGGUCCAGACUCCUACGGGAGGCAGCAGUGGGGAAUAUUGGACAAAGGGCGAAAGCCUGAUCCAGCCAUACCGCGUGGGUGAAGAAGGCCUUCGGGUUGAAAAGCCCUUUUGUUGGGAAAGAAAAGCAGCAGGUUAAUACCCCGCUGUUCUGACGGUACCCAAAGAAUAAGCACCGGCUAACUUCGUG